CACAGUGAGUGAAAAUUAAAUUCCUGGUCAGAAUCUGAUUCUCUACAAGACUAGUGAAAGGCCGAAUUUUCAAUCUUCAAAACCAAAAGCAGAGGAAAAUGAUGUUCAAGCUAUCAUUCAUCGUCAGUCUGCUCCUCAGUUCUGUUCACAUUCUGGGAACAAUUUCAACAACGACCUCAAAGUCUCCAGAUGUCUCCAGUACCAGCAUCCACCUGAAUUCCACAAUAAGCCUAACUCUUGGAACAAAGGCAAGUUCUACCUCCAAAUCUGAAAGGCCAAAUCUCACAACAUCAGUGACAACCAGGACAACUCUGACUUCCAUGACAACUCCAAGUUUCAAGAAAACUCUGCAAUCAACAGUGACCUCAGAGAUAGCCAAAAAUAUGACUACAAAGACUGUGACAAAUGGCAGCACAACACUCAAUCCAAAGCUUAGCAUUCAUUUUCUUUCCUAUGUACUAUUUUUGCUGUUUUCUGUAUACUCAGACUGAAACCAACUUGAACUAUCUGCAUUUCUAAUCUCAGCUCUAUUAUCUGCUGAACAAUAAGCACACCAGGAGAGUAAAUUAUUUACUACUUGAAUUAUCAGUAUUCUAGUAUAAUUCACUUGAUUGCAAACUCUGUGUGUAAGUUUAAAUGUUACCUUAAAAUGAUAAUAAUCUUCUUUUAAAAAGACAAAGUGUGUACCACCCUAUUAAAUGCCAAAGUAAGCAAAAUA
Molecule: long non-coding RNA, 718 nt
Organism: Octodon degus (degu)
Lineage: Eukaryota; Metazoa; Chordata; Mammalia; Rodentia; Octodontidae
Exons: 2
Source: RefSeq, a predicted model, not a curated record